Molecule: ribosomal RNA, 1738 nt
Filed under: Euplotes dominicanus
Lineage: Eukaryota; Ciliophora; Spirotrichea; Euplotida; Euplotidae
Description: SSU rRNA
Rfam family: Eukaryotic small subunit ribosomal RNA
Source: RNAcentral
UGAAUACACAGUGAAACUGCGAACGGCUCAUUCAAACAGUUAUAGGUUAUUUGAUAUUCGGAUACUUCCAAUAUGGAUACCCGUAGUAAUUCUAGGGCUAAUACAUGCGUUGCGGGGGACUUCACGGAACCCCAGUAUUAUUAGAUAUUUCAAACCAUCAUUCCGCAAGGUCUACUGAGAUGAUUCAUGAUAACUAGUCGAAUGCCGUUUCUACCGGCAUAUGUCAUUCAUGUUUCUGCUUCCCAUCAGCUUGAUUGUAGUGUAUUGGACAACAAUGGCAUUCACGGGCAACCGGGGGAUUAGGGUUCGAUUCCGGAGAGGGAGCCUGGUAAACGGCUACCACUUCUACGGAAGGCAGCAGGCGCGAAAAUUAUCCAAUCCUGACUCAGGGAGGUAGUGAGACAAAUAACGAACUGGGAUUAUUUUAUCCUGGGAUCGCAAUGGGCUUGAUUUGCAAACUUGAUAUUAGCGAGGAACAAUUGGAGGGCAAGUCUGGUGCCAGCAGCCGCGGUAAUUCCAGCUCCAAUAGUGUAUAUUAACGUUCCUGCAGUUAUUCGAUGCUCGUAGUUGGAUUUCUGGGGGUGGAGACAGGAGGGUGGCUAUGGCCACCGCCAGUCUUUUCCCUCGUCCGCCUGUUAACGGCGCUCGAGAUUGAGUUCUCGACGUCGAGCGCAGGCACUUUGAUUGAUUCUCUUGAGCAAAUUAUAGUGUUUCAGGCAGGCGUGCGCCGGAAUACAUUAGCAUGGAAUAUACUUACGGACCGUGUGUAGCUUGCUACAUCUCCUUAUUUGUUGGUUUCUUUAAGGACACGGAUUGAUUAAUAGGGAUAGUUGAGAGUUUUUCUCACCAGGGGAGGCAUUAGUAUUUAAUUUCCAGAGGUGAAAUUCUUUGAAAUUUCUAAAGACUAACUUAUGCGAAAGCAUUUUUUUUAUUUUUAUACCUGCCAAGAAUGUUUUUAUUUUUUUAUCGAACAGAACGAAAGUUAGGGGAUCAAAGACGAUCAGAUACCGUCCUAGUCUUAACCAUAAACUUUGCCGACUAGGGAUCGGAGGGCGUGCACAUUCCGCCUCCGGCACCUUACGAGAAAUCAUAAGUAUUUUGGGUUCUGGGGGUAGUAUGGUCGCAAGGCUGAAACUUAAAGGAAUUGACGGAAGGGCACCACCAGGGGUGGAGCUUGCGGCUCAAUUUGACUCAACACGGGAAAUCUUACCAGGUCCAGACAUAGGAAGGAAAUUGACAGAUUGAUAGCUCUUUCUUGAUUCUAUGGGUUGAUUCGGUGGUGCAUGGCCGUUCUUAGUUGGUGGAGUGAUUUGUCUGGUUAAUUCCGAAUUUAAUAUAAAUACAAACGAACGAGACCUCAGCCUGCUAAAUAGUUGUCAGUCUUUUUAUGUGCUUGCACAAACCGAGACUGACUAACUUCUUAGAGGGACUUUGUGAGCAACCAGAAAGGAAGUUUGAGGCAAUAACAGGUCUGUGAUGCCCUUAGAUGUCCUGGGCCGCACGCGUGCUACACUGAUACGUACAACAAGGUAUACAUAUCUACUUGCUGCUCCGAAAUAGAUUAUCUUUGGCUAAAUCUCCAAUACGUAUCGUGCUGCGGAUAGAUCGUUGAUAUUAAUUAUGGAUCUUGAAGGAGGAAUCCCUAGUAAGCGCAAGUCAUCAGCUUGCGUUGAUUACGUCCCUGCCCUUUGUACACACCGCCCGUCGCUCCUACCAAUUUCGAGUGGCUCGGUGAGCC